This 255-nucleotide ribosomal RNA is filed under the name uncultured Scutellospora. RNAcentral's name for it is "partial 18S ribosomal RNA". It matches the Rfam family "Eukaryotic small subunit ribosomal RNA", at positions 624 to 885 of the family's 1831-position model. Lineage: Eukaryota; Fungi; Glomeromycota; Glomeromycetes; Diversisporales; Gigasporaceae. The record is from RNAcentral.
AAGCUCGUAGUUGAAUUUCGGGGUUCUACCGUUGGUCGGGCUAACCAGUCUGUACUAGCGUGUAGAAUUCCUACCUUCUGGGGAACCAUUAUGUUAUUAAUUUAGCGUGGUGGGAAACCAGGACUUUUACCUUGAAAAAUUAGAGUGUUCAAAGCAGGCUUACGUCUGAAUACAUUAGCAUGGAAUAAUAAAAUAGGACGGUGGUCCUGUUUUGUUGGUUUCUGAAUCACCGUAAUGAUUAAUAGGAUAGUUGGG